UACAGAGGUCCCAAGCGUUGUUCGGAUUCACUGGGCGUAAAGGGUGCGUAGGCGGUCGGGUAAGUCUGAUGUGAAAUCUCCAAGCCUAACUUGGAAACUGCAUUGGAUACUAUCCGGCUAGAGGAAUGGAGGGGAGACUGGAAUACUUGGUGUAGCAGUGAAAUGCGUAGAUAUCAAGUGGAACACCAGUGGUCGAAGGCGAGUCUCUGGACAUUUCCUGACGCUGAGGCACGAAAGCCAGGGGAGCAAACGGG
Molecule: ribosomal RNA, 254 nt
Filed under: uncultured bacterium
Lineage: Bacteria
Description: partial 16S ribosomal RNA
Rfam family: Bacterial small subunit ribosomal RNA
Source: RNAcentral